CCUACGGGAGACAGCAGUAGGGAAUAUUGCUCAAUGGGGGAAACCCUGAAGCAGCAACGCCGCGUGGAGGAUGAAGGUUUUCGGAUUGUAAACUCCUUUUGUUAGAGAAGAUAAUGACGGUAUCUAACGAAUAAGCACCGGCUAACUCCGUGCCAGCAGCCGCGGUAAUACGGAGGGUGCAAGCGUUACUCGGAAUCACUGGGCGUAAAGAGCGCGUAGGCGGGAUAGAAAGUCAGAUGUGAAAUCCUAUGGCUUAACCAUAGAACUGCAUUUGAAACUGUUAUUCUAGAGUAUGGGAGAGGUAGGUGGAAUUCGUGGUGUAGGGGUAAAAUGCGUAGAGAUCAAGAGGAAUACUCAUUGCGAAGGCGACCUGCUAGAACAUAACUGACGCUGAUGCGCGAAAGCGUGGGGAGCAAACAGGAUUAGAUACCCCGGUAGUC
RNAcentral lists this ribosomal RNA (440 nucleotides) under uncultured bacterium. RNAcentral's name for it is "partial 16S ribosomal RNA". It matches the Rfam family "Bacterial small subunit ribosomal RNA", at positions 338 to 795 of the family's 1533-position model. The record is from RNAcentral.